CAGAGGGGGCAAGCGUUGUUCGGAAUUACUGGGCGUAAAGGGCGCGUAGGCGGCCUGCUAAGUCGAACGUGAAAUCCCCGGGCUCAACCCGGGAACUGCGUCCGAGACUGACAGGCUUGAAUCCGGGAGAGGGAUGUGGGAUUCCAGGUGUAGCGGUGAAAUGCGUAGAUAUCUGGAGGAACAUCGGCGGCGAAGGCGGCAUCCUGGACCGGUAUUGACGCUGAGGCGCGAAAGCCAGGGGAGCAAACGGGAUUAGAUACCCCGGUAGUCCUGGCCCUAAACGAUGAAUGCUUGGUGUGGUGGGUAUCGAUCCCCGCCGUGCCGAAGCUAACGCAUUAAGCAUUCCGCCUGGGGAGUACGGUCGCAAGGCUG
Molecule: ribosomal RNA, 372 nt
Filed under: uncultured organism
Description: bacterial SSU rRNA
Rfam family: Bacterial small subunit ribosomal RNA
Source: RNAcentral